ACAUGUGAGGGCGAUCUGGCUGCGAUAUCUGUCACCCCAUUGAUCGCCAGGGUUGAUUCGGCUGAUCUGGCUGGCUAGGCAGGUGUCCCCUUCCUCUCCCAUGGCUCCAUGUGCGUCCCUCCUGAAGCUGCGCGCUUGGUAGAAGAGGACGACCAUCCCAGAUAGAGGAGGACCGGUCUUCGGUCAAGGGUAUACAAGUAGCUGCGCUCCCCUGCUAGAACCUCCAAACAAGCUCUCAAUGUGUGACAGCUAUAUAUCUAUAUCUAUAUCUGUAUCUAUAUCUAUAUAUAUGUAUAAUUCUAU
Molecule: unclassified non-coding RNA, 303 nt
Organism: Dipodomys ordii (Ord's kangaroo rat)
Lineage: Eukaryota; Metazoa; Chordata; Mammalia; Rodentia; Heteromyidae
Gene: 7SK
Rfam family: 7SK RNA
About the family: 7SK was discovered as an abundant small nuclear RNA in the mid-70s but a possible function has only recently been suggested. Two independent studies have found that 7SK RNA binds the CDK9/cyclin T complex (known as elongation factor P-TEFb). P-TEFb activates transcription by phosphorylating the C-terminal domain of RNA polymerase II.
Source: Ensembl